Pelobates cultripes (western spadefoot toad) is the source of this 242-nucleotide non-coding RNA. Lineage: Eukaryota; Metazoa; Chordata; Amphibia; Anura; Pelobatidae. The record is from the annotation of a GenBank genome assembly.
UAUUCAGGGACAAAUUUGCAGUAUUAGCCUGUGGUCCCUAGGAAAGCUAAUACCUGCGUCUUAGCAGUGGUGUAUCCUGGUUUUGUGCUGCCCUAGGCAGGACAAAACUCAGGCGCCCCCUCCCCCCAUGCCACCCCACCUUCUAAAUACACACAUUCACUGACAGAUACGCAUACACUAGCUAACAGAAACACACACACACUAACAGACACACAACCACUAACAGACACACACACACACAC